AGCUGGUUCUCCCCGAAAGCUAUUUAGGUAGCGCCUCGGACGAAUACUACUGGGGGUAGAGCACUGUUUGGGCUAGGGGGUCAUCCCGACUUACCAACCCCAUGCAAACUCCGAAUACCAGUAAGUACUAUCCGGGAGACACACGGCGGGUGCUAACGUCCGUCGUGAAGAGGGAAACAACCCAGACCGCCGGCUAAGGUCCCAAAGUUCUGGUUAAGUGGGAAACGAUGUGGGAAGGCUCAGACAGCUAGGAUG
Molecule: ribosomal RNA, 255 nt
Filed under: Aeromonas caviae
Lineage: Bacteria; Pseudomonadati; Pseudomonadota; Gammaproteobacteria; Aeromonadales; Aeromonadaceae
Also listed under: 1 other name
Description: partial 23S ribosomal RNA
Rfam family: Bacterial large subunit ribosomal RNA
Source: RNAcentral